This 84-nucleotide transfer RNA is filed under the name Candidatus Uhrbacteria bacterium. RNAcentral describes it as "tRNA-Leu". It matches the Rfam family "tRNA". From Rfam's summary of the family: Transfer RNA (tRNA) molecules are approximately 80 nucleotides in length. Their secondary structure includes four short double-helical elements and three loops (D, anti-codon, and T loops). The record is from RNAcentral. Lineage: Bacteria; Candidatus Uhriibacteriota.
GGGCGAGUGGCGGAACUGGUAUACGCGCGGGACUCAAAAUCCCGUUCUCGCAAGGGAUUGAGGGUUCGAUUCCCUCCUCGCCCA